RNAcentral lists this long non-coding RNA (1158 nucleotides) under Bos mutus (wild yak). RNAcentral describes it as "lncRNA (ENSBMUG00000009236.1)". Lineage: Eukaryota; Metazoa; Chordata; Mammalia; Artiodactyla; Bovidae. The record is from RNAcentral.
GAAUAAUCAACCAUGGCUUAAAAUGAUGUACCAUGCCAUAGAAUGAAGAAUGUUUCUAGAUAUUUUGGGGGUUGAUAUUUUAGCUUUACAAAAGGUAAGUGCUCCUUUUAUGCUACAAUAUUUCUAAAAAUGAAAUGGACUGUGGGAGGUAUAUCAUAGUAGCCAGAUUUUAUCAAAACUAUCACAGAGUAUCUGUCAAGGUCAACAGCUAAUGCAGAAGUUUUAUUCUUAGUUCUGCUACAAAGAUGGGGAAAAAAAUUGUUUAAUUAAAGGAAGGUGAUAAAUUAAAUCCCUUGUAGGAUUUCUGAAGUUCUCUUUUUGAUCGUAAAAUGUCUUUACUAGAGCAACUUGUUAGUUCAACAUUCCUACAUAAAAAUAUUCAUAUUUCCUUAGCUAUAUCCAAAUCUUCAAAAUAGUUUUUAAAGUUUUCCUUGCAGAGUGGGAAUACCAAUGAUGCAGCACUCCUCUGGAUUUAGAUUUCAUUCAAAUUCUAAUAGGGUGAAUAUUCCUAGCCAAAAUUCCUUCUAAUCCCAACUCCUAAUCUUGUUUCCACUGAUCAUCAUGGUGAACUACUUCUUUUUCUCUUUGGGCAGAGUCUCCAUGGUGCAUUGCUACAGUGAUAUUUGCCUUGCUUUAUUUAAUUGCUCUUGCACUAGCUGCAUUUAUGAUAGCUAAGGUUAAAUGUCUAGAAGAAACUCUGAAUACAUAUCAAAACAAUACGUCAAAUGUGCCUGGACGCUGCAACACAAUAUAGCAAAACCGAGGUAACUGGUCCUUCUCUGAAGAAAACUGAUAUCUUAUUUCUGCUGAAAAUAAGAUCUUGGCAGCAAGGAAAUUGUCCUGAAGCCCUGAGCUCCAGUCUUAUCAAGAAAUAUAACAAAGAAGAAUUGGAAAUGUAUGGCACAAUAACCCUUCCCACAUUUUCUUAUACGGAAGAUAAUUAUAGAGACAUUUUAACAUUAUGUGUUCAUUCAAGCAUGCUAAACUCAACAUAUUGUAAUAAUUGAUUGGAGAUCUCUUAAUCAAACCCAAACAUCAAAAUAUGGGCUUAAAUGGUUAUGUGAUUUUUAAAUUUUAAAUGUAUUUGUACAUAGAAGUAAAUGCUAAUAUAUUAAAAUCUCAGACCCUGGUAAAUAAAUAAGAGGAAACCACAUAGCA